AUAACGACUCUCGGCAACGGAUAUCUCGGCUCUCGCAUCGAUGAAGAACGGAGCGAAAUGCGAUACUUGGUGUGAAUUGCAGAAUCCCGUGAACCAUCGAGUCUUUGAACGCAAGUUGCGCCCGAAGCCAUCAGGUUGAGGGCACGUCUGCCUGGGCGUCACGC
Molecule: ribosomal RNA, 164 nt
Filed under: Damrongia orientalis
Lineage: Eukaryota; Viridiplantae; Streptophyta; Magnoliopsida; Lamiales; Gesneriaceae
Description: 5.8S ribosomal RNA
Rfam family: 5.8S ribosomal RNA
About the family: 5.8S ribosomal RNA (5.8S rRNA) is a component of the large subunit of the eukaryotic ribosome.
Source: RNAcentral